Molecule: long non-coding RNA, 339 nt
Filed under: Manihot esculenta (cassava)
Lineage: Eukaryota; Viridiplantae; Streptophyta; Magnoliopsida; Malpighiales; Euphorbiaceae
Description: long non-coding RNA (MESC_LNC009681)
Source: RNAcentral
ACGUUUAGCGAACUGCUUGGAUUCUUUGCACGGGGUGAGUCCGGAGAUGUCAGCAACGGCGGGGAGUGGGGCGGAUAAGAGGAUGGAAGAGAGAGCAAGCGCAGCCGAGAAAGCUUGGAGUGGUGAUUUAGAGGAGUCUUUCUCUGGGGUUUGAGCAGCAGAGCAUACAACUGUGGCUCUUGAUGAAGAAGAUAACUUUGAUGGAUUCAAUGGAGAGCCAAGCUUUGGCUUCAACAUAGGUUUUGAGAGAUUGGCAGGUAUUGUAAGAGACAUUUUUCCUCUAAUUGAUUUCUUGGUUUUCUUACAGUAAAGAAAAAAGAGAAAGAGAUAUUGGAAGAG